RNAcentral lists this ribosomal RNA (234 nucleotides) under uncultured bacterium. RNAcentral's name for it is "partial 16S ribosomal RNA". It matches the Rfam family "Bacterial small subunit ribosomal RNA", at positions 104 to 334 of the family's 1533-position model. The record is from RNAcentral.
CGACGGGGGGUGAGUAAUGCUUGGGAAUCUGGCUUAUGGAGGGGGAUAACUACGGGAAACUGUAGCUAAUACCGCGUAAUAUCGGAAGAUUAAAGGGUGGGACUUUCGGGCCACCUGCCAUAAGAUGAGCCCAAGUGGGAUUAGGUAGUUGGUUAGGUAAAGGCUGACCAAGCCGACGAUCUCUAGCUGGUCUGAGAGGAUGACCAGCCACACUGGAACUGAGACACGGUCCAG